GGACAUAUGCAAGUCUAUAGAGAGAUAGGAGCUCUCUUUGCAGCUUCAGUAAUACUUUGUCUUUUCUUUAAUCUAAACCAUAUUCUCUAACCUGGCGCGCUCAGGCGCAUGCAGGCUCUGAUUAAACGAAGGCGGGAUUUGAAAUAGCUGGAGGAUAACGACUGUAGUGGAGUGGAGUUAGCCUGGUGUGCAAGAACAUGACGUCAGCACCGAAGUUUGCAUCAGCUCACAGCGAAGACAAAGUGCCACCAGACAAGAUGAGGAGCUUGCAGAUGGAAACAAGGGUGGGUGGUUGGAAGGCUGGAUAAAGGCUGGUAGAUGACUGAACUCAGAGACCCGGCGCAGCUCAUCAUCAUUGCCACGGGCUCUCGUCUUCCUCCUCUCCUCCUGUGGCCCCGUACCUCCAUCCAGGGGUCCAGCAGAGCCAGCGAAGCCCAGGCGGGGAGCUAGUGAGUGGGCUGGGAAAGAUGGAGAAGGUCCCCGAAGGCGAGAAGCACCUCUGGAGCUACCGGCAUGCAGGAGAAAUCAAUACGAAACACAGAGCCUGCACAGCUCUGAGUGGGGUUUCCUGUGUUAGUCUGUGGCCUAGGGGCCCGCAGACCUCCAAAGGACAGGCCCUGCGUGGCCCUCUCAGCUGCAGCCCCGGCUCCUUAGACUGGACCUCAGUCCCGAUCUCCACUGGCUGUGUGUGGUUCCGCUGAAGGGGAUCUCUCCCCAAAUAAUACUGAAUGUUGAGAGACCGCCGACAGGGAUAUUCCUUUCUCUUGAUUUUUUCCCCCCUUCAUAAGAUUGACAUAUCCCCCACCUUCUGCCUCUGGCUGUUUAAAAACCAGUUUGGGAGUUCUGCUUUUGACUCGCUCUCCAUCCUCGACUCGCCCGUUGUUUAUUCCCCAAACAGUUUUUACAUUUGACAA
Plectropomus leopardus (leopard coralgrouper) is the source of this 914-nucleotide long non-coding RNA. RefSeq lists it as uncharacterized. The record is from RefSeq and is a predicted model, not a curated record. NCBI's taxonomy places the organism in Eukaryota, Metazoa, Chordata, Actinopteri, Perciformes, Serranidae.